Molecule: small RNA, 118 nt
Filed under: Vibrio aestuarianus
Lineage: Bacteria; Pseudomonadati; Pseudomonadota; Gammaproteobacteria; Vibrionales; Vibrionaceae
Source: RNAcentral
CUAGUAGUAAUGACCACCACCAUUAUUAUUACCGACAUUACACAUGUUGGGGCGGGCUGCUAAGCGAAAAAUUUUUUCAAAAAAGGCCUGUAUCCCACCAGAUACAGGCCUUUUUUUA